This 408-nucleotide ribosomal RNA is filed under the name uncultured microorganism. RNAcentral's name for it is "bacterial SSU rRNA". It matches the Rfam family "Archaeal small subunit ribosomal RNA", at positions 330 to 745 of the family's 1478-position model. The record is from RNAcentral.
GCGCGCAGGCGAGAAUACUUUACAAUGUGCGAAAGCACGAUAAGGGAACUCUGAGUGCCUCCUAAGGAGGCUGUUCAGGUGUCUAAAAGCACCUGAAGGAAGGGCUGGGUAAGACCGGUGCCAGCCGCCGCGGUAACACCGGCAGCCCAAGUGGUAGCCACGUUUAUUGGGUCUAAAGCGUCCGUAGCCGGCUGGGUAAGUUCCUUGGGAAAUUUGGCUGCUUAACAGUCAAGCUUUCAGGGAAUACUGCCCGGCUUGGGACCGGGAGAGGUCAGAGGUACUCCAGGGGUAGGGGUGAAAUCCAUUAAUCCUUGGGGGACCACCGGUAGCGAAGGCGUCUGACCAGACCGGGUCCGACGGUGAGGGACGAAGGCUAGGGGCGCGAACCGGAUUAGAUACCCCCGUAGU